GGAUUAGGCAUGCAAGUCGAACGAGGGAGCGCCCCGAAAGGGGUGCAAACCGAGUGGCGUAAGGGUGAGUAAUGCAUUGAUAACCUACCUUUGAGAUGAGGAUAACAACGUUUCAAGUAAUUGAAACUACCGAAAGGGUUGCUAAUACUCAAUAAAACUGUUGUUGCUUUGGUAGCGAUAGUCAAAUAGGUGGAGUCGAAAGGCUUCAUUUGCUCAGAGAGGGGUUAAUGUCCUAUCAGCUAGUUGGUAGGGUAAUGGCCUACCAAGGCAAAGACGGGUAGCCGGCCUGAGAGGGUGGUCGGCCACACUGGGACUGAGACACUGCCCAGACUCCUACGGGAGGCUGCAGUCGAGAAUCUUUCGCAAUGCCCGAAAGGGUGACGAAGCGACGCCGCGUGCGGGAAGAAGGCCUUCGGGUUGUAAACCGCUGUCGGGAGUUAAGAAAUGUAAGGAUGUUAAUAGCAUCUUUGCUUGACUAAGGCUCCGGAGGAAGCCACGGCUAACUCUGUGCCAGCAGCCGCGGUAAUACAGAGGCGGCAAGCGUUGUUCGGAAUUAUUGGGCGUAAAGAGCACGUAGGCGGCUAUGUAAGUCGGUUGUGAAAGCCUUCCGCUCAACGGGAGAACAGCAUCCGAUACUGCAUGGCUUGAGUGCGGGAGGGGAGAGUGGAACUUCUGGUGGAGCGGUGAAAUGCGUAGAUAUCAGAAGGAACGCCGGCGGCGAAAGCGGCUCUCUGGCCCAUAACUGACGCUGAGUGUGCGAAAGCUAGGGGAGCAAACGGGAUUAGAUACCCCGGUAGUCCUAGCCGUAAACGAUGGGCACUAAGUAGAGGGG
Molecule: ribosomal RNA, 832 nt
Filed under: uncultured Planctomycetota bacterium
Lineage: Bacteria; Pseudomonadati; Planctomycetota
Description: bacterial SSU rRNA
Rfam family: Bacterial small subunit ribosomal RNA
Source: RNAcentral